Serinus canaria (Common canary) is the source of this 352-nucleotide long non-coding RNA. RefSeq lists it as uncharacterized. The record is from RefSeq and is a predicted model, not a curated record. NCBI's taxonomy places the organism in Eukaryota, Metazoa, Chordata, Aves, Passeriformes, Fringillidae. The transcript has 4 exons.
AUCUCUGUUGGGCCCGGUGCACUGUGGGGCAGGUGCCCAGCUGUGCAUUACCCUGUGCUGUGGGGCAGGUGCCCAGCUGUGCAUUACCCUGUGCUGUGGGGCAGGUGCCCAGCUGUGCAUUACCCUGUGCUGUGGGGCAGGUGCCCAGCUGUGCAUUACCCUGUGCUGUGGGGCAGGUGCCCAGCUGUGCAUUACCCUGUGCUGUGGGGCAGGUGCCCAGCUGUGCAUUACCCUGUGCUGUGGGGCAGGUGCCCAGCUGUGCAUUACCCUGUGCUGUGGGGCAGGUGCCCGGCUGUGCAUUACCCUGUGCUGUGGGGCAGGUGCCCAGCUGUGCAUUACCCUGUGCCGUGCA